GUGAGAGCGCACUAAGAUCGUAGUAAGAUCGCAAAGGUCGUUGUACCAUCGUAGUGAGAGCGUAGCGAAAGCGUGAUUCUAUUCGGAGAAACUGCGCUACGAUCUCAUUGCGACGUUAUUACGACCUCACUACGACCAUCACGUUCUCACCGCGACCAAACUACGCUUCCACUACGACUAUACCACGCUGUUCACGACCAUAGUACGAUUCUAGCACGCCCUUGUCGUCCUCAUCACGCUCUUCUUACGACCUGACUACGUUCAUACUACGAC
RNAcentral lists this long non-coding RNA (273 nucleotides) under Mytilus galloprovincialis (Mediterranean mussel). The record is from RNAcentral. Lineage: Eukaryota; Metazoa; Mollusca; Bivalvia; Mytilida; Mytilidae.